This 508-nucleotide ribosomal RNA is filed under the name uncultured bacterium. Its description in RNAcentral is "partial 16S ribosomal RNA". It matches the Rfam family "Bacterial small subunit ribosomal RNA", at positions 30 to 523 of the family's 1533-position model. The record is from RNAcentral.
AUUGAACGCUGGCGGCAUGCCUUACACAUGCAAGUCGAACGGCAGCGGGGGAGAAGCUUGCUUUUCCUGCCGGCGAGUGGCGAACGGGUGAGUAAUACAUCGGAACGUGCCCUGUCGUGGGGGAUAACUAGUCGAAAGAUUAGCUAAUACCGCGUACAACCUGAGGGUGAAAGUGGGGGACCGCAAGGCCUCAUGCUAUAGGAGCGGCCGAUGUCUGAUUAGCUAGUUGGUGGGGUAAAGGACUACCAAGGCGACGAUCAGUAGCUGGUCUGAGAGGACGAUCAGCCACACUGGGACUGAGACACGGCCCAGACUCCUACGGGAGGCAGCAGUGGGGAAUUUUGGACAAUGGGCGAAAGCCUGAUCCAGCAAUGCCGCGUGUGUGAAGAAGGCCUUCGGGUUGUAAAGCACUCUUGUCCGGAAAGAAAUGGCUCUGGUUAAUACCUGGGGUCGAUGACGGUACCGGAAGAAUAAGGACCGGCUAACUACGUGCCAGCCGCCGCUGUAA